This 497-nucleotide ribosomal RNA is filed under the name uncultured bacterium. RNAcentral describes it as "partial 16S ribosomal RNA". It matches the Rfam family "Bacterial small subunit ribosomal RNA", at positions 28 to 507 of the family's 1533-position model. The record is from RNAcentral.
GAUGAACGCUGGCGGCGUGCCUAAUACAUGCAAGUCGAGCGAACAGACGAGGAGCUUGCUCCUCUGACGUUAGCGGCGGACGGGUGAGUAACACGUGGAUAACCUACCUAUAAGACUGGGAUAACUUCGGGAAACCGGAGCUAAUACCGGAUAAUAUAUUGAACCGCAUGGUUCAAUAGUGAAAGACGGUUUUGCUGUCACUUAUAGAUGGAUCCGCGCCGCAUUAGCUAGUUGGUAAGGUAACGGCUUACCAAGGCAGCGAUGCGUAGCCGACCUGAGAGGGUGAUCGGCCACACUGGAACUGAGACACGGUCCAGACUCCUACGGGAGGCAGCAGUAGGGAAUCUUCCGCAAUGGGCGAAAGCCUGACGGAGCAACGCCGCGUGAGUGAUGAAGGUCUUCGGAUCGUAAAACUCUGUUAUUAGGGAAGAACAAAUGUGUAAGUAACUAUGCACGUCUUGACGGAACCUAAUCAGAAAGCCACGGCUAACUACGUG